RNAcentral lists this ribosomal RNA (423 nucleotides) under uncultured bacterium. RNAcentral describes it as "bacterial SSU rRNA". It matches the Rfam family "Bacterial small subunit ribosomal RNA", at positions 355 to 776 of the family's 1533-position model. RNAcentral also lists the same sequence under 1 other name. The record is from RNAcentral.
UGAGGAAUAUUGGUCAAUGGGCGGGAGCCUGAACCAGCCAAGUAGCGUGAAGGAUGACAGCCCUAUGGGUUUUAAACUUCUUUUAUAAGGGAAUAAAGUGCCCCACGUGUGGGGUUUUGUAUGUACCUUAUGAAUAAGCAUCGGCUAAUUCCGUGCCAGCAGCCGCGGUAAUACGGAAGAUGCGAGCGUUAUCCGGAUUUAUUGGGUUUAAAGGGAGCGUAGGCGGUUCCAUAAGUCAGCGGUAAAAUCGUGCGGCUCAACCGUACCGUGCCGUUGAAACUGUGGGACUUGAGUAUGCGCAGGGUACAUGGAAUUCGUGGUGUAGCGGUGAAAUGCUUAGAUAUCACGAAGAACUCCGAUCGCGAAGGCAUUGUACCGGAGCAAGACUGACGCUGAGGCUCGAAAGUGCGGGUAUCAAACAGG